RNAcentral lists this ribosomal RNA (489 nucleotides) under uncultured bacterium. RNAcentral's name for it is "partial 16S ribosomal RNA". It matches the Rfam family "Bacterial small subunit ribosomal RNA", at positions 28 to 507 of the family's 1533-position model. The record is from RNAcentral.
GACGAACGCUGGCGGCGUGCUUAACACAUGCAAGUCGAACGGAAAGGCCCUGCUUUUGUGGGGUGCUCGAGUGGCGAACGGGUGAGUAACACGUGAGUAACCUGCCCUUGACUUUGGGAUAACUUCAGGAAACUGGGGCUAAUACCGGAUAGGAGCUCCUGCUGCAUGGUGUGGGUUGGAAAGUUUCGGCGGUUGGGGAUUGACUCGCGGUGUAUCAGCUUGUUGGUGAGGUAGUGACUUACCAAGGCUUUGACGCGUAGACGACUUGAGAGGGUGAUCGGCCACACGGGGACGGGGACACGGCCCAGAGGCAUACGGGAGGCAGCAGUAGGGAAUCUUCGGCAAUGGGCGGAAGUCUGACCGAGAAACGCCGCGUGAGGGAAGAAGGUUUUCGGAUCGUAAAGCUCUGUUGUAAGAGAAGAACGAGUGUGAGAGUGGAAAGUUCACACUGUGACGGUAUCUUACCAGAAAGGGACGGCUAACUACGUG